GAUGAACGCUAGCGGCAGGCUUAAUACAUGCAAGUCGAGGGGCAGCGGGUGUAGCAAUACAUGCCGGCGACCGGCGCACGGGUGCGUAACGCGUAUGUAACCUACCUUUAACUGGAGGAUAGCCCCGAGAAAUCGGGAUUAAUACUCCAUAAAAUUAUGAGAAGGCAUCUUUUUAUAAUUAAAGCUCCGGCGGUUUUAGAUGGGCAUGCGUGACAUUAGCUAGUUGGUGAGGUAACGGCUCACCAAGGCUCCGAUGUCUGGGGGUUCUGAGAGGAUUAACCCCCACACUGGUACUGAGACACGGACCAGACUCCUACGGGAGGCAGCAGUAAGGAAUAUUGGGCAAUGGACGCAAGUCUGACCCAGCCAUGCCGCGUGAAGGAUGACGGCCCUAUGGGUUGUAAACUUCUUUUGUACGGGAAAAAACCUUCGAACGUGUUCGAAGCUGAUGGUACCGUAAGAAUAAGCAUCGGCUAACUCCGUGCCAGCAGCCGCGGUAAU
This 501-nucleotide ribosomal RNA is filed under the name uncultured bacterium. RNAcentral's name for it is "bacterial SSU rRNA". It matches the Rfam family "Bacterial small subunit ribosomal RNA", at positions 28 to 524 of the family's 1533-position model. The record is from RNAcentral.